AACGAACGCUGGCGGCAGGCCUAACACAUGCAAGUCGAGCGCGCCAUUCGGGGUGAGCGGCGGACGGGUGAGUAACGCGUGGGAACGUGCACUUUUCUACGGAAUAGCCUCGGGAAACUGAGAGUAAUACAGUAUACGCCCUAUGGGGGAAAGAUUAAUCGGAAAAGGAUCGGCCCGCGUUGGAUUAGGUAGUUGGUGGGGUAAUGGCCUACCAAGCCGGGGAUCACUAGCUGGUAUGAGAGCAAGAUCAGCCACACGGGGACUGAGACACGGCCCAGAAUCUUACGGAAGGGAGCAGUGGUGACUAUAGGAAAAUGGCGUCAUCCCUGACGUAGCCAUGCCCCGUAAGUGUUGAAGGCUUUAAAGUUGUAAAGUUCUUUCACCUGUGAAGGUAAUGACGGUACCAAAAGAAGAAGCCCCGGCUAACUCCGUG
This 433-nucleotide ribosomal RNA is filed under the name uncultured bacterium. RNAcentral describes it as "partial 16S ribosomal RNA". It matches the Rfam family "Bacterial small subunit ribosomal RNA", at positions 29 to 507 of the family's 1533-position model. The record is from RNAcentral.